GAGGACGUCAAGGCGCUGGCAACGCCUGAGGCCGAUGAGACCACAGGCGGCCUGACCACUGCGCACUGAGCGAUACGCGGAAUUGAUGAUAAAACGGCGCCUUCGGGCGCCGUUUUUUAUGUCCGAUGCCCUCAAAUGACGGCGAUGCCGGGUUGCGCCGAAGGUGUCCGCCCGGCUAAAACACGCGGGCAUCGUCGCUCGUUCGGCGAACAUUGAGGGCGGCUAGCUCAGCUGGUUAGAGCAUCUCGUUUACACCGAGAGGGUCGGCG
RNAcentral lists this unclassified non-coding RNA (269 nucleotides) under Hevea brasiliensis (rubber tree). The stretch from base 217 to 269 matches the Rfam family "tRNA", at positions 1 to 50 of the family's 71-position model. The record is from RNAcentral. Lineage: Eukaryota; Viridiplantae; Streptophyta; Magnoliopsida; Malpighiales; Euphorbiaceae.